Molecule: ribosomal RNA, 434 nt
Filed under: uncultured bacterium
Lineage: Bacteria
Description: partial 16S ribosomal RNA
Rfam family: Bacterial small subunit ribosomal RNA
Source: RNAcentral
AGCGAACGCUGGCGGCAGGCCUAACACAUGCAAGUCGAACGAACCUUUCGGGGUUAGUGGCGGACGGGUAAGUAACACGUGGGAACGUGCCUUUAGGUUCGGAAUAACUCAGGGAAACUUGUGCUAAUACUGAAUGUGCCCUUCGGGGGAAAGAUUAAUCGCCUUUAGAGCGGCCCGCGUCUGAUUAGCUAGUUGGUUGAGGUAAUGGCUCACCAAGGCGACGAUCAGUAGCUGGUCUGAGAGGAUGAUCAGCCACAUUGGGACUGAGACACGGCCCAAACUCCUACGGGAGGCAGCAGUGGGGAAUCUUGCGCAAUGGGCGAAAGCCUGACGCAGCCAUGCCGCGUGAAUGAUGAAGGUCUUAGGAUUGUAAAAUUCUUUCACCGGGGACGAUAAUGACGGUACCCGGAGAAGAAGCCCCGGCUAACUUCGUG